This 429-nucleotide ribosomal RNA is filed under the name uncultured bacterium. Its description in RNAcentral is "bacterial SSU rRNA". It matches the Rfam family "Bacterial small subunit ribosomal RNA", at positions 355 to 775 of the family's 1533-position model. The record is from RNAcentral.
UGGGGAAUUGUUCGCAAUGGGCGCAAGCCUGACGACGCAACGCCGCGUGGAGGAUGAAGAUCUUCGGGUCGUAAACUCCUGUCGAAUGGGACGAACGGGUGGCGGGUGAAUAACCCGCGACCGUGACGGUACUGUUAAAGGAAACCCCGGUUAACUCCGUGCCAGCAGCCGCGGUAAUACGGGGGGGGUAAGCGUUGUUCGGAAUUACUGGGCGUAAAGGGCUCGUAGGCGGCCAACUAAGUCAGACGUGAAAUCCCUCAGCUUAACUGGGGAACUGCGUCUGAUACUGGAUGGCUUGGAUCCGGAAGAGGGAUGCGGAAUUCCAGGUGUAGCGGUGAAAUGCGUAGAUAUCUGGAGGAACACCGGUGGCGAAGGCGGCAUCCUGGGCCGGUAUUGACGCUGAGGAGCGAAAGCCAGGGGAGCAAACGG